CCUACGGGAGGCUGCAGUGGGGAAUAUUGGACAAUGGGCGAAAGCCUGAUCCAGCCAUGCCGCGUGUGUGAAGAAGGCCUUCGGGUUGUAAAGCACUUUCAGUGGGGAAGAAAGCCUUGGGGCUAAUACCCUCGAGGAAGGACAUCACCCACAGAAGAAGCACCGGCUAACUCCGUGCCAGCAGCCGCGGUAAUACGGAGGGUGCGAGCGUUAAUCGGAAUUACUGGGCGUAAAGCGCGCGUAGGCGGUCUGAUAAGCCGGUUGUGAAAGCCCCGGGCUCAACCUGGGAACGGCAUCCGGAACUGUCAGGCUAGAGUGCAGGAGAGGAAGGUAGAAUUCCCGGUGUAGCGGUGAAAUGCGUAGAGAGCGGGAGGAAUACCAGUGGCGAAGGCGGCCUUCUGGACUGACACUGACGCUGAGGUGCGAAAGCGUGGGUAGCAAACAGGAUUAGAUACCCGGGUAGUC
RNAcentral lists this ribosomal RNA (465 nucleotides) under Vreelandella stevensii. RNAcentral's name for it is "partial 16S ribosomal RNA". It matches the Rfam family "Bacterial small subunit ribosomal RNA", at positions 338 to 795 of the family's 1533-position model. Lineage: Bacteria; Pseudomonadati; Pseudomonadota; Gammaproteobacteria; Oceanospirillales; Halomonadaceae. The record is from RNAcentral.